CCCCUCCCGCCCCCUCCUACUACCCACACCUGUAGCCCUUGUCCAGACUGCAAACUGGGAAAACACAGGCCUAACCCCCUCCCCUAGGGAAUCCUUGUACUCGGUUGCUUGGUGCCUGGUGAUGCGCAGUCAUUUUAUAUACCCUGUCCGUUUCCUCCGUUGCUUUAGGCAGGCAGUUACGUGUGCGGCCCUGCUGUCCCACCUUAACUGGAAGCAGAGCUCCUGACAGCACACAGGGAUGGCUACUCGUCGCAGGCCCUGCCGAAGUCUUUCCUUGUGUUAUUAUUGUAUCCUCGCAGCAGCCUGUGAUGUAGGGACAAUUAUUGUCUUCCAGUUUACAGGGGAAGAAACUGAGGGGCCUGAAGGGGACUGUUUCUCCAUUUCACUGGCAGAAUGGCUGCCUGGCCAGACCCUUCUGUGGCCUGCCCUCUCCCUCUUGACCCUGGUGCCCCAAAUGUUUCAUGCAUAGGCCCCACUUACAUGGUUGGUUAUUCUUUCCAGUAAUAAGUAGGCUUCCCCCAGAGCAUGACCAAAUAUUUUCCUCUCUGUCAUGACUAAAUGGGAACCAGGAGCUGUGUCUGGAACACGGUGGGUGCUCAGGAAACGCUGGCCUCUGGUCAUCUGUGUCACAUUGUGCGGCUGAUGGUGACAUAUGAAGACUUUGGAGUUCUGAUGCAUCUUGGCUAAGCCGGAUCCCAGGAAUAUACGGGUACAGAACAUGGGGUCCACAGACGAGGCCCUUAGAAAAGGGGUUGGCAGCUGUCAGCGGUCCAACCGGGGAGGAGGUGGAGAAAGGAAGGCUGAGUGAGAGAAACAAUCCAGCGAAGACAACAGGCUAGCCAGUGAGGACCGACAACAGGUUUCACUACGGCAACCUACUGGGGCCACGGUGCCUGGCUCUUCUCAUCCCUGAUCUGAUAUGGGAUGGUCGACACUCAUGUCAACUCGAUGGGAUUUGGAGUCACCUAGGAGACAACCCCCUGGGCAUGUCUAUGAGGGAAUUGAGGUGGGAAGAUUCAUCCUUACUGUGGGCCACACUGUUUCAUGGGCUGGAGUCCUGGAGAAGGGUAAAACCGGAGAAAACGAGCUGAGCGCUAGUGAUGAUCUCUCUGGGCUUCCUGACUGUGGAUGUCAUGUGAUCAGCCGCUUCACAGUCCUGUCACCAUGAUGACAACGGUCACUUCCCUGCCGUGGUGGGCUUGUGUCCUUGAAUUAUGGGCCAAAACAAACCCUUCCUUCCUUCAUAUAUGGGCAGGAGGGAUGUAAGAACCACAAGGACACACUAGGGCACCCCUGGAAGAAGGAUGCUGACCUUGAGCCAAGAACAGACUUACAGGGUGCAAAUAAGCACCCCCAGAACGUGGUUCUUGCUCUCCAACCCAUCAGUACCAGGGAAGACCAGAAUCCUAAAGUAGCUUCAUCGUUUCUACCCUUUGGAAAAAUGGAUGUUUGCUACUGCCUUACCCCCGAAGCUGUGGUCCUCAUCUAUUGUGCAAGUCCAUGUUUGGUCCACCCAGCCUCCUCACCCCUACCUCCCUUCCCCCACACAAAAUGUCUGGUCUUAACACUCUCCUCCAAACCCUAAAAUGUGGCUGUUAUCAGGAGCUCAUGGAGGAGUUAGAGAAUGUCACAGGGAACGGCCUGCAGGAUGGUGAUUGUCCCUUGGGUUCCUGCGCAUUGCAGAAGGAGAGGCUGCGAUUCUGGAAACACCUCCCUCAUGCUCAUUCGCUCUGGUAAGGCUCACCAAGCCCUACUGUGUGCUAUGUGCAGGGCCUGGCAGCAUGCCCGAGUCAGGCAUGUCUCAGCCUCCAGGAGACAGUGUGUUCUGGUGACUGAACUCAGGUCCUCAUGCUUACAAGCAGGCUCCUUAGCAACUGAGCCAUCUCCUGAGUUCUCAAGAUCAAACAAUGACAUUAGAUGUCCAUGAGCCAGGUAACAGAGAUCUAAAACUGAUAGGACAUCAAAUAAAUAAAUCACAAUUGGAUGGAGAUAGCAGCACUGUUCUUCUGGUAGCCAAGGGAACAGGGAGAAAGUGGGUGAGGGUAUAGAUAAUUAAGAACAUCUUCAACACACAACCCAACUCACACUUGUAGCAAUGGCAGAAGAUGCGUUCCUUCCUGAGAACACUGGCUGUGAAGAGAGACAGGUGAUGCUGGAGGGGAGGGAAUAAAAAAAAAAACCUCAAAAUGUAUUCUCUAACAAGGUAUAUUCUCUAAGUACAACAUUGAGUUAGUGAUCCAUAACUUGAAAGUAUCUAGAAAACAGUGAUUUAGAAAAACCAGUAACUGAUUUUUAAGACCAUCCAUGGUAUGGAAGAAAGUCAGAGAAAUGACAGAAUUUCUUGAGCCAAAUAAAAACUGAAAUAUGACAGAAACAGUUGCCAGCUGUGAGUGGGAGGUGAGGAGGAGCCCUUCACUGGGUACAGGGUGAUUUGGCUGCUGAGAGUUCAAGGCUGGAGUCAACCCAGGUGUUGAUGCAGACAGACUGUGGUGUAUCCAUGGAGGGACUAAGACCCAUGAAGAAGAAAGAACAAACCACUAGUAUUUGCCACAAUUCAGAGAAAUCUCAAAAUAAUUCUGCUGGGUGAACCAAGCCAAACAAAAAGAUUACAUGUGUUACAGUUCCAUUUAUACACAAUUUGAGAAAAUGCCACCCAUCUGUAGUGAUAAAGAGCAGAUUGUGGGCUGGGAGAUAGCUUGAUUGGUAAAAGGCUUUGUCACAUAAACAUGAUGACCUGAGCUCACAUCCUCAAUACCCACUUAGAAGCCAGGUGUGGUGGCACACACACACCUGUAAUCCCAGCUCUGGGGAGGGGAGAUGGCCAGGUCCCUGGAGUGCACUGAUUGGCCAGGCCCACUGAGAAACCCUGCUGCAAAAAGAGUGGAGAGCAACUGAGAAAACACCCUACACUGACACCACACAGGCACACAUACGUAUACACCUUUCCAAACACACACACACACACACACACACACACACGCACGCACGCACGCACGCACGCACGCACGCACGCACACACACACACCUGGGGAUGGAGUAGGCAAGCAUCAUCCAUUGGAGGUCAGGAUCAUUAAAGGGUACAAGAAAAACUUGGGGUGCUGAAUAUUCAUCUUGAUUUUAGUGAGGGCUUUGUACAUGCAUCCAUAUGUCAUUUUAUCGGGCUUUACCUUUAAAUACGCUUGGUUCAUUGGAU
Non-coding RNA from Peromyscus maniculatus bairdii (prairie deer mouse), 3193 nucleotides. The record is from RefSeq and is a predicted model, not a curated record. Lineage: Eukaryota; Metazoa; Chordata; Mammalia; Rodentia; Cricetidae.